Molecule: non-coding RNA, 24 nt
Filed under: Rattus norvegicus (Norway rat)
Lineage: Eukaryota; Metazoa; Chordata; Mammalia; Rodentia; Muridae
Source: RNAcentral
GCACAGACAAGAGAACCUGGCGGC